GCUUGUCUCAAAGAUUAAGCCAUGCAUGUCUAAGUAUAAGCCUUUAUAUGGUGAGACUGCGAAUGGCUCAUUAAAUCAGAAACUGUUUAUUUGAUAGUGCCUACUACAUGGAUACCUGUAGUAAUUCUAGAGCUAAUACAUGCUGAAAACCCCAACUUCGGGAGGGGUGUAUUUAUUAGAUAAAAAACCAACGCCCUUCGGGGCUUCUUGGUGAUUCAUGAUAACUUCACGGAUCGCAUGGCCUUGCGCCGGCGACGGUUCAUUCAAAUUUCUGCCCUAUCAACUUUCGAUGGUAAGGUAUUGGCUUACCAUGGUUUCAACGGGUAACGGGGAAUUAGGGUUCGAUUCCGGAGAGGGAGCCUGAGAAACGGCUACCACAUCCAAGGAAGGCAGCAGG
This 397-nucleotide ribosomal RNA is filed under the name Microsphaeropsis olivacea. RNAcentral's name for it is "partial small subunit ribosomal RNA". It matches the Rfam family "Eukaryotic small subunit ribosomal RNA", at positions 30 to 432 of the family's 1831-position model. The record is from RNAcentral. Lineage: Eukaryota; Fungi; Ascomycota; Dothideomycetes; Pleosporales; Didymellaceae.